Molecule: ribosomal RNA, 95 nt
Filed under: uncultured ectomycorrhiza (Lactarius pseudomucidus)
Lineage: Eukaryota; Fungi; Basidiomycota; Agaricomycetes; Russulales; Russulaceae
Description: partial 28S ribosomal RNA
Rfam family: Eukaryotic large subunit ribosomal RNA
Source: RNAcentral
UUGACCUCAAAUCGGGUGAGACUACCCGCUGAACUUAAGCAUAUCAAUAAGCGGAGGAAAAGAAACUAACAAGGAUUCCCCUAGUAACUGCGAGU